This is a long non-coding RNA of Phyllopteryx taeniolatus (common seadragon), 1937 nucleotides long. RefSeq lists it as uncharacterized. The transcript has 7 exons. NCBI's taxonomy places the organism in Eukaryota, Metazoa, Chordata, Actinopteri, Syngnathiformes, Syngnathidae. The record is from RefSeq and is a predicted model, not a curated record.
CCAUGGCCACCAGCAGCAUGUAGAAGACGCCCGCCAUGUUGUCGAUGUCCAGCUUGCUGCUCAUCACCUGAACGGCGCCGACACACGGGAAGGAGACGCCGAUGUUCACUACUAAGCCACAACUGGACACAAGUGCAAGUACACUGAGUGGCCGAGACUUCCCGAUCGACAAGCGGAUCAAAGUCUCGGCUCAGACGCGUGAUGUUGACGAUGAUGAUUGUGUGAGGACGUAGGGAAGAGCUACAUGAGCGCUAGCGCAUCUGCUUCCCAUUCAACAUCCUUCCUGUUCACACUCGCCAGCUGCGAAGUGCCCGCCGAGUCUUCCGGGAGGAAACCGCUCACGGAUGAAAAAUGGAAAGCAUGACGUGGAGGAUGAUGAUGCAGUGGUUCACUCGCCUGACUUUGCUGCAGAAACGUUGUCGAUGGCCUCCUCCACGCCCUUCUGGUUGUUGCGGAUCAUGUACUGGUGCAUGUUGGGAUAGUUGGAGCGGAUGUUCUCCUCCGUGCUGCCGUUGGGCACCGUACCAAAGCGCAGGGGUGGGUACUGCUCGGUGGGCUGCUGGAACUACGCCGAAGGGGGCGACAGACCAGGACACAGUUCCAUAUGACGUGGUGAAAAGGCCUGAGAAACUGAAAUGGGAAAUUCCACAAGCUUCAUGAAUAUGCAUGCCUUCAAGAACACAAAAACCAAUCUUGACUCUACCUUCUUGUCGGAGAGUCCCGACACGGUGUCGAUGUACUCCUCCUGGAUCAUGAAGGCGGCCAGGUUGGCGGUGUACGACGCCAAGAAGAUUACGGCGAAGAAGGCCCACACCAGAACCUGCGGAGAAAGACCCGGACAAACUAGCGGCCAUGUGGGAGGCGGGAACUUUAUUUCCACAAAUGGGAGGACAAUAACUCAUCAGACUCCGGACGAGCGAGACGGCUCUGUGACAUCAUCACAAACUACUAGUAAAAGAUUUCUCGGAAAAGGGAGAACGUGAGGAUGCACAGCAGGUAACCGAUCAGGCUCACGUAGAGCCACGCCACGAAGAGCAACAUCACAUAGAGCAGGUUCAUUGUUACGUUGAGUCACGUGACAUCGAGCGGGCUCGCACAUGUGGAGUCGGUCGUGGCGUGAGGUCCAUCCAGAGAUAUGACAUCACACCGUAACACAGCUGACAUAGUGCAGUGUUACAUAGAGCUGCAUAGAGCGAUGUCACAUAGAGUGGGGGCACGUCUAUCUAUUGUCGAUACUGCGUAUUAGCGAGCCUAAUGAGCUCAUCCCAGAUGACUUCUAUGUAUCACCGACUGAAAAAUGUCUUAAAAUGCCUCAUAGGAAAGUAGUAAUUGCUCCUUUUACAGGAUGGCCAGAACUCUGCAUGUGAGAAAAAAAGUUGCCUGCUCUGACCUGCUUUUUUGUCAAGCGAGCGGCUGAUGAGCUCUCCGCCUGAUUGGUGGAAAGCUCUCAAGCAAAUGAGAUGAGCUCGUCCCGUCCCGCUGGGCCUCGUCAACACUUGGCGCCGUCACGCCGCUUUCGUCGAGAAAGUUGCAACUUGGCCACGCUAACGAGACCCACUCGAGAUCACGCUGUUUCGCGUUCCAGUUGUCGUCGCAGAAAAGCUCGUGCACAGAGUUGUUGAAGACCAGCGCCCACAGAAGCCAAACCGACUUGCCGAUCGUGAACUUGGAGCCGCCCGACUCUGAGACAAAACAGGGAACAGCGCUCCUAAGAAAGACUCCCCUCGUUGAGCACGCCGCCAUGAUGACGGUUGGGAGAUGCGAGGACUCCACCUCCUAACCCGCAGCCCACGGGACACACUGCGCCCGCCCGCGGAUUACAACAUGGAGGAACAUGAAAGCCGCUAUUGAGCUCAUGAUUACAAGCGAUGCUGUGGCUUCAGAAAGGAACAUGGACAAUCAGUCAUGCCAGCGAAAACAACUCCGGAUCAACCUCA